AGAACGACGCUGGCGGCAUGCCUAACACAUGCAAGUCGAACGAGACCUUCGGGUCUAGUGGCGCACGGGUGCGUAACGCGUGGGAACCUGCCUUUAGGUUCGGAAUAACUCAGAGAAAUUUGAGCUAAUACCGGAUGAUGUCUUCGGACCAAAGAUUUAUCGCCUUUAGAUGGGCCCGCGUUGGAUUAGCUAGUUGGUGGGGUAAAGGCCUACCAAGGCGACGAUCCAUAGCUGGUCUGAGAGGAUGAUCAGCCACACUGGGACUGAGACACGGCCCAGACUCCUACGGGAGGCAGCAGUGGGGAAUAUUGGACAAUGGGCGAAAGCCUGAUCCAGCAAUGCCGCGUGAGUGAUGAAGGCCUUAGGGUUGUAAAGCUCUUUUACCCGAGAUGAUAAUGACAGUAUCGGGAGAAUAAGCUCCGGCUAACUCCGUG
RNAcentral lists this ribosomal RNA (434 nucleotides) under uncultured bacterium. RNAcentral describes it as "bacterial SSU rRNA". It matches the Rfam family "Bacterial small subunit ribosomal RNA", at positions 32 to 507 of the family's 1533-position model. The record is from RNAcentral.